AGCAGUCGCCACGGGAAUACGGAGGGGGCUAGCGUUGUUCGGAAUUACUGGGCGUAAAGCGCACGUAGGCGGCUUGGUAAGUUAGAGGUGAAAGCCCAGGGCUCAACCCUGGAAUUGCCUUUAAGACUGCCGAGCUAGUAGGUGAGAGAGGUAAGUGGAAUUCCGAGUGUAGAGGUGAAAUUCGUAGAUAUUCGGAAGAACACCAGUGGCGAAGGCGGCUUACUGGCUCAUUCUAGACGCUGAGGUGCGAAAGCGUGGGGAGCAAACAGGAUUAGAUACCCCAGUAGUCCCUGUCUCUUAUAC
RNAcentral lists this ribosomal RNA (303 nucleotides) under uncultured bacterium. RNAcentral's name for it is "partial 16S ribosomal RNA". It matches the Rfam family "Bacterial small subunit ribosomal RNA", at positions 507 to 807 of the family's 1533-position model. The record is from RNAcentral.